RNAcentral lists this ribosomal RNA (579 nucleotides) under Staphylococcus epidermidis. RNAcentral's name for it is "bacterial SSU rRNA". It matches the Rfam family "Bacterial small subunit ribosomal RNA", at positions 69 to 633 of the family's 1533-position model. Lineage: Bacteria; Bacillati; Bacillota; Bacilli; Caryophanales; Staphylococcaceae. The record is from RNAcentral.
GGACCAGGAGCUUGCUCCUCUGACGUUAGCGGCGGACGGGUGAGUAACACGUGGAUAACCUACCUAUAAGACUGGGAUAACUUCGGGAAACCGGAGCUAAUACCGGAUAAUAUAUUGAACCGCAUGGUUCAAUAGUGAAAGACGGUUUUGCUGUCACUUAUAGAUGGAUCCGCGCCGCAUUAGCUAGUUGGUAAGGUAACGGCUUACCAAGGCAACGAUGCGUAGCCGACCUGAGAGGGUGAUCAGCCACACUGGAACUGAGACACGGUCCAGACUCCUACGGGAGGCAGCAGUAGGGAAUCUUCCGCAAUGGGCGAAAGCCUGACGGAGCAACGCCGCGUGAGUGAUGAAGGUCUUCGGAUCGUAAAACUCUGUUAUUAGGGAAGAACAAAUGUGUAAGUAACUAUGCACGUCUUGACGGUACCUAAUCAGAAAGCCACGGCUAACUACGUGCCAGCAGCCGCGGUAAUACGUAGGUGGCAAGCGUUAUCCGGAAUUAUUGGGCGUAAAGCGCGCGUAGGCGGUUUUUUAAGUCUGAUGUGAAAGCCCACGGCUCAACCGUGGAGGGUCAUUGGAAAC